This 69-nucleotide transfer RNA is filed under the name Ictidomys tridecemlineatus (thirteen-lined ground squirrel). Its description in RNAcentral is "Spermophilus tridecemlineatus (thirteen-lined ground squirrel) tRNA". It matches the Rfam family "tRNA". From Rfam's summary of the family: Transfer RNA (tRNA) molecules are approximately 80 nucleotides in length. Lineage: Eukaryota; Metazoa; Chordata; Mammalia; Rodentia; Sciuridae. The record is from Rfam by way of RNAcentral.
GGGGUUGUGUCUCAGUGGUAGAGCGCUUGCCUAGCAUGCAUGAGGCACUGGGUUUGAUUCUCAGCACCA